CAAUAGCGUAUAUUAAAAUUGUUGCGGUUAAAAAGCUCGUGGUUGGAUUUUUGCUGAGGACGACCGGUCCGCCUCCUGGGCGAGUAUCUGGCUCUGCCUUGGCAUCUUCUUGGAGAACGUAACUGCACUUGACUGUGUGGUGCGGUAACCAGGACUUUUACUUUGAGGAAAUUAGAGUGUUUCAAGCAGGCGUGCGCCUUGAAUACAUUAGCAUGGAAUAAUAAGAUAGGACCUUAGUUCUAUUUUGUCGGUUUCUAGAGCUGGGGUAAAGAUUAAUAGGGAUAGUUGGGGGCAUUCGUAUUUAACUGUCAGAGGUGAAAUUCUUGGAUUUGUUAAAGACGGAUUACUGCGAAAGCAUUUGCCAAGGAUGUUUUCAUUGA
RNAcentral lists this ribosomal RNA (380 nucleotides) under uncultured eukaryote. RNAcentral's name for it is "partial 18S ribosomal RNA". It matches the Rfam family "Eukaryotic small subunit ribosomal RNA", at positions 592 to 976 of the family's 1831-position model. The record is from RNAcentral.